GCCCCGCCCCCUGACGGUCCAGGGAUUCCUUCGGCCCCGCCUCCAGGCCUCACUCGGCUCCUGGCCCCACCCGUGCGUGGUGCCCUCGGGAAUCCUCGGCUGGAGGGACUCGCUCUUCCGCCGAGCCCGGUCGGGGCAGAGCCCGGCCUGCAGCUGCGAGGACCGGAGCGGCGGGAGGUGACGCCCCUGUUCUGGAGCCGGGAUUCGCGGCCAUGACAGUGUCGGCCCGCGCCUUCUGGCUGCUCCGCGGCCGCCUUGGCCGAGUGUCGGCGUUGGGCCGGAGCGCGGCGUCGCUCUUGGCGGCGCCGGGAACGGCCGGGCGCGCGUUCCGGGGCUUUCGGAGCAGCGGCUUGAGACAUGACGCAAUUAUUAUCUCAGGAACUGAAAUGGCCAAACAAAUCCAGAAAGAAAUACAGCGAGGUGUGGAAUCUUGGAUUUCUCUUGGGAAUGGAAGACCUCACCUCAGUAUCAUUUUAGUGGGUGAUAACCCAGCAAGCCACACAUACGUCAGGAAGAAGAUCAAAGCUGCUGCUGCCGUAGGUAUCUGUAGUGAGAUCAUUCUAAAACCUAAGGAUGUUUCUCAGGAAGAACUUUUGGAUAUAACCAAUCAAUUGAACAUGGACCCAAGAGUCAGUGGUAUAUUAGUUCAGUUGCCACUGCCAGACCAUGUGGAUGAGCGGACAGUAUGCAAUGGAAUUGCCCCGGAAAAAGACGUAGAUGGAUUUCAUAUUAUUAACAUUGGAAGACUAUGCCUGGAUCAGCAUUCUCUCAUACCUGCCACUGCUAGUGCUGUUUGGGAAAUUAUCAAACGAACAGGAAUUGAAACAUUUGGAAAAAAUGUGGUUGUGGCUGGAAGAUCCAAGAAUGCAGGGAUGCCCAUCGCCAUGCUCUUACACACUGAUGGAGAGCACGAACGGCCAGGAGGUGAUGCAACUGUGACAAUAGCUCACAGAUAUACUCCCAAAGAACAACUGAAGAUCCAUACUCUGCUGGCAGAUGUUAUCGUAGUAGCUGCAGCCUCACCUCUGACUCAUCAUUGUGAAACCAAGAAAUCAUUUAGCCUCUCAGCACCUCAGAAUCUCCCUUCUGUGAACGAGGAUAAUGGGUAUUCCAAAGUUGAUUACAUCUGAUAUGGUUAAAGAAGGUGCUGCUGUAAUUGAUGUGGGUAUCAACUAUGUCCAUGACCCAAUGACAGGAAAGACAAAAUUAGUUGGAGACGUGGACUUUGAAGCUGUUAAGAAGAAGGCUAGCUUUAUCACUCCAGUUCCAGGAGGCGUGGGACCCAUGACAGUGGCAAUGCUUCUCAAGAACACCCUUCUGGCAGCUAAAAAAAUCAUUUACUAGAUCACAUGAAAGAAUAAAGCAAACUGAAGUCAUGCUACGUAUCUAUUUGACAAAAGGCAAAAACCUUUAUAUUUUACUACAAAGCUAUUUCUACAUUGUAUUUAUUUUUUCACAGAUGGAAUCACUGUGGAUCAGAUGAUUCACACAAUCUUAUGCAUUUCCUGCUAAUAAUUACUGAAUAUUUUGAGUGGAUAUUGAGUUUUAGGAAAAGAAAACAAAACAACUGCGAUGAAAACUUUGGUAACAAUUGUUUAUUUUGUGAUUAAUAUUUGUUCAUAACGUUAAAACUAAUAAAGGGCUCAUAAUAAAUGCAUAUAUUUUUGACACAAAUAGUGUGUUUUCAACAAACAUUUUGUCAGACAAAUAAGCUCCCUUGUAAAAUGUGAUUUAGGUUUUGCCAUAAUUAUGGCCAAUUUUUAUAUAUUUUAUGUACUAUAUCAUAUGAUGAAAAAGAGUUUAUUUGCUAAAGGAAAGAUAAAAUAUUAAAAAUAAUAUUUUGAUCUCAUAUACUUCCCAAAUGCAUCCAACGAGGCAUACUAAUGAGAAAUGAUGCUCCAUUCGAAGAAAGAAAAACAUGCAAGGAAGGCAAAAAAUGCAGUGCUACUUGGAAAGGUAUUGAUUAUUUCAAAUGGUGAAUUACUACUUGCCAAGUAAAAAUGCAAUAAGAAUGUGUUAGGUUUACAUGCAAUUCCUUUGUUCUUCUAGAAAAAUAUUUGGAUAAUACCUUCCUUGAAGAAUAAUGGAAACUCCAAAACCAAACAAAUAUACAAAACAAAACUAAGGUUGUAUUUUCCCACAAAUAUCAGGAAAACACAAUAUAGUAUGAAUGAGGACUUCAUUAAAGAAUAGAAGUUAUGUUUGUUCACAAAUCUAGAAAUCUAAUAGAAAAAUAUGACACAAUGUGCCCAAGCUAAGCCUUAGGAUAUGACUAAAAAUCUAUUGCUUUGUUACUCACAGUUCUUCCUUCUUCUCUUAUAGCAUUUGGUUCUCAAAGUAGAUGCCAUGUUUCUAACACAAUUUAAAUUAGAAAAAAACAUGUGACUGUCCGUUGGAGGCUAUUUUGAGACUACCCUGGGCAUAUAAUUGUAUUGUUUUCAGGCCCAAAUCCCAGUCUGUUUAUGUACCAGUAAUGAUUCUUACCCAAUGCAUGUCGUUAUUAGUGUAUACUCUUGAUCAUUUGUGUGAAAAUAGACUAGAUGUUUAUAAUUAAUAUUUCAACUGUAUAAUAAAACCAGUUUGGAAAGGAAUACCUGUCUUCUUUUUCUUUAAGCUAUCUGUAAGUUUCUUUGUUCAUAUAUUUGUUAUCUGUUUCUCAGAGCAUGCUGGGGAAAUGUACAAGUUCCUCAAACAUGAAAGAAAAGGUUCUAUAGCCCAUUCCAGAUCAGUCUUUGUCUAAUAACCCUGAUAAAAGUUUAAAUUUAAAGCUCCCAAGCAAACAUUUCAGAAAGACCCUCUUUUUAAUAUUUAAGUGCCCCAUGUUCGCAAAACAAACAUAAUGACCCAAAAUACAUUUACAUGGAAAAGGUGAAGUCUGUAAUUCUGAGCUUCCUCCUCCCCCACCCCCAAAUGCAGGAGGAGUUAUUUUUUGGAAAUAUUUUUCCCCUUUGGUGAGGCUAAAAUUCAGGAGUGAGCCUUUCCAGAGACCAAUUAAAACACUAUAAAGGAAAAAUUAUCUAACAUUUGUUAAAAAUAUAAGGACAACUUUAUUCAGGACUAUUGCAAUGGGGUCGAGACUAUCACAAUAGAAGAGAUUGAAAACUCUAAAUAUAGCUGAGACAGCAAUGGAUUUAUAGGCAAUGAAGAGAGUGAGGGGAUCAGUAGAUGGAAAAUUACUGAGAGGAACUUGAUUAGAUAACAAGACUAGAGGGAUUCUUGUAAACUAGCUUACCAGGAUUCUUGUUACAGUUAGGCCAGAUAUCAAGGGGGGAGAUAGGGAACUUGAUCAGAUAUGGCAGGGACAAGGGUGCAAGGAGCAGGGCAGGGGGAUUCUCCAGAAACUAAGAAGAUUUCUUUGCUAAAACUGGGCUCAACAGGCUAAGUUGAUGCCUAGUUGAGAAAAGGAGUAGGAGAAGUCUAAAGUUUGGUCAAGAAGGGAGCCUUUGUCAACACAUAAAGGAAAUAAAGUUGGUUCAUUGUUAUCAUGACUUUACUUAUGCAUAUUUGGGGUCUAUAAAAGACAUAUGAUUGUCUUGUGGAGGAGGUUUGGAGAAGUAAGUUCUCUUCUACACGUAUCUGUAAAAAGGACCCCGAAGAAUUAAUGAGGAUUGAAAAAUAACAUAAAGAUAUGGAGGUGAGAAUGAGCUUAGCAUAUAUAUAUAUAUAUGAAAGCAAGGGCUACAGUCAGACUGAAAUGAAAAGUGUUUGUUGCAGAGUGGUGGAAAUACAGCUGGAAAACAGCAGAAGUAGAUUAGAGAAAGCCUGGAUAAAUCAGAAUUUAGACGAUAUUUAGUCAGUGAUGAGAGUUGUAGUUAAAGCCUAGAAGACGUUAUCACUGAUUAUCAUGAGGAAGUUGUAAAGAGGAGCUUAUUUUGGAGAAGAGAUAAUAUGUUCAGUUUGACAUGUUGAGUUUGAGGUGAUGAUGGCAUAAUACAUAAAUAAAAGUCCUGACAUAGUAUCAGUCUGGUAUGAGAAUAAUUCAUGGCUAAUGAUGAAAACUUAAGAUGCAUCAACAUGUGUUAACCGCUAAAUUCCUAACCUUGAUUGACCACUAUAUACACCCUGCAUCUUUCUACACUUGUUUGAUAGUAACAGCUAUCUUUAAUUGAGCACCUAUCAUGUGCUAAAUGCUCUACUUUUUUGUUAUUGUUGUUACUGACGAUCCACAUUUGAUAUAUGAGGAAAUCAACCCUUGAGGUUAUUAAAAAGUCUCAGCAAAGGCCAAAUGGAUAGCAAAGGUAGAACUGGAAUUCAAAGAAAGGUCUGUUAGGAUGAUGUGAACUGGAACCCACUCUCUUUUCAUUCUAUCACUCUACCUCCCCUCAGUGCCCACCUCCCCUGCCACCUAGAAUCCUUUCUCUUAUCACUGUAUGUCUAAAUUCUACUUGCUAUUUAAGAUUCACUUCAAAUGAAACUCAUCCAUGAGAAAUGCUGUGAGAGUUUGACCAAGUCCCACCCCUGAACUCUUAUACACAUUUAUGUACACAUUCAUGGCAGUCAUCCGUCUCUACCCAGCACUGUAGUUAUGUAUGUACUUUCCUUAGCCCCCUCUAGUUCUUUGAGGUCAGAGUCUAUGCAGGACUUUUCUAUUUGUCUUACAAACAUUACAUGUUACAGGCAUAAAAUGGUUUAUGAAUGGAUGAAAGGCAACUGAAUUCAUGAGAAUUACAGAAUAAGUUUAGAGAGAGAUAAGCAAUGGGCUGAUGACCAUUUCCUGCCAAUGUCCAGCAACAAAUUUUGGCUAUUAGUGAAAGAGCAAGAAAGAAAAAGGGGGCUUCCCUGGUGGCGCAGUGGUUAAGAAUCCGCCUGCCAAUGCAGGGGACACGGGUUCAGGCCCUGAUCCGGGAAGAUCCCACAUGCUGCAGAGCAGCUAACCCUGUGCAUCACAACUACUGAGCCUGCACUCUAGAGCCCGAGAGGCACAACUACUAAGCCCACGUGCCACAACUACUGAAGCCCAUGCGCCCCAGAGCCCAUGCUCUGUAACAAGAAAAGCCACCACAAUGAGAAGCCUGCGCACCACAAGGAAGAGUAGCCCCCGCUCGCUGCAACUAGAGAAAGCCUGCGCACAGCAACAAAGACCCAAUGCAGCCAAAAAUAAAAUAAAUAAAUUAAAUAAGUAAAAAAAAAAAAGAAAAGAAAAAAGGAAGGAAAAGAGAGGAGAGAUGAAGAAAGGAAAGGAGGGGAAAGAAAGGGAAAGUAGGAGAAGGGAAGGAAAAAAUAAAUUUAACAGCAAGGGAAGGGAAGAGAAGACACUUCCAGAGAUGCUUAUAACUAUAGAGAGAUGAAUAAAUUAAAAAGAUGAAAAAUGGUCGGAGGGAAAAAUGAUAGUGGGGUGCUGCAGCUCUUAGCCUUCUUUUUGACUCUAACAUGUAUCAAGAAUGAAUACGAGUAUCCGUGAGGCCAUGUUACAGUA
RNA transcript from Orcinus orca (killer whale), 5416 nucleotides. It is a transcript of the gene named methylenetetrahydrofolate dehydrogenase (NADP+ dependent) 2 like, with no coding region annotated. The transcript is spliced from 9 exons. Lineage: Eukaryota; Metazoa; Chordata; Mammalia; Artiodactyla; Delphinidae. The record is from RefSeq and is a predicted model, not a curated record.